RNAcentral lists this ribosomal RNA (253 nucleotides) under uncultured bacterium. RNAcentral describes it as "partial 16S ribosomal RNA". It matches the Rfam family "Bacterial small subunit ribosomal RNA", at positions 524 to 776 of the family's 1533-position model. The record is from RNAcentral.
UACAGAGGGGGCAAGCGUUGUUCGGAAUUACUGGGCGUAAAGGGCGCGUAGGCGGCCUGUUAAGUCGAACGUGAAAUCCCUGGGCUCAACCCAGGAACUGCGUCCGAUACUGGCAGGCUUGAAUUCGGGAGAGGGAUGCGGAAUUCCAGGUGUAGCGGUGAAAUGCGUAGAUAUCUGGAGGAACACCGAUGGCGAAGGCAGGUCUCUGGGCCACUACUGACGCUGAGAAGCGAAAGCAUGGGGAGCGAACAGG